GGGCAGAUACCCAAGUGGCCAACGGGGGCAGACUGUAAAUCUGCUGGCGUAUGCCUUCGCUGGUUCGAAUCCAGCUCUGCCCA
Molecule: transfer RNA, 83 nt
Filed under: Methylacidiphilum sp. Yel
Lineage: Bacteria; Pseudomonadati; Verrucomicrobiota; Methylacidiphilae; Methylacidiphilales; Methylacidiphilaceae
Description: tRNA-Tyr
Rfam family: tRNA
About the family: Transfer RNA (tRNA) molecules are approximately 80 nucleotides in length.
Source: RNAcentral